Long non-coding RNA from Octopus sinensis (East Asian common octopus), 449 nucleotides. RefSeq lists it as uncharacterized. The transcript has 3 exons. The record is from RefSeq and is a predicted model, not a curated record. NCBI's taxonomy places the organism in Eukaryota, Metazoa, Mollusca, Cephalopoda, Octopoda, Octopodidae.
UCAAUAUAAAGACGUUAGGAAAAGGUCAACCUAAGAACACUAUUCAAGCAGUUGACGACCCGUUUAAACACAAAGAAACCUCAAAAUUAAAUUCGAACUCUCAGACAUCUCUAAAAACUUCUAUCAGUGAUUUUAUGACCGCAAGAAUCCCACCAUUUCGAGUUGAAAGACUUGCUGAGCAAGAAUCAUCCCAAAUGAAAAAUACUUUAGUGAAGCUUGAUGAUGGUUUUGUUAUACCAAGUGUGCCCUCUAAGCAUCGAAUCGUCAAAAUUUCGACAAAACCUGCCAAAACACAUCCAAAAACCACGCCUAAUUCCCAAAUUACUUCGAAUUCGAUCAAUAAUAAACCAGUUCCGACAAUUCUCAACAAUUCUCAGUUUUUACAGGCUCAGUCUAAAAAUGACACUUUUAAUAUUUCAUUUAAUCAACGGAUCGAAUAUUCGGCGAAU